Molecule: long non-coding RNA, 2693 nt
Organism: Leopardus geoffroyi (Geoffroy's cat)
Lineage: Eukaryota; Metazoa; Chordata; Mammalia; Carnivora; Felidae
Exons: 4
Source: RefSeq, a predicted model, not a curated record
CCUACUUUAAAAGAAGUCAUUUUUCAUGCUCGUCUUUUUGUCCACAGGAAGGUUGGAAUGAGACCCGCCUCUGGUCCAGAGUCAGCAGCUUCUUCUAGCCUCUCCUCGCCUGUCUGUAACUCACUCUCCAGUACCAGAAAUUGUGGCAUUUGUCUCUUCGUUACCCAUUCACUAGAGCCAGAAUCUCUGUUUUCUUGUAUUUUGUUUCCUAAACGAAGCAGUGUCUCCUAUGGGUGUAGCUUUCCACAGAUAUUGUUGAAUUGAAAUGGACUUCAAAGAGAAAGCUUUUGGAUUAUUUCUGUUAGCUAGAUACUUAGACAGGCCAUCGGGUCCAGGCCGCAUGCCCUAGGACAGCUUUGAUGUUUACCAUCAGGAGGCCUCAAAGCACGGCCUUGCUCUCAUGCACCUGUUCUCGCCCACGUCCCACCCCCAGAUCAAGGGCCUCCAGGAUGAGGCGGGGUUUCAUCCCGACCCUCCUGAGCUCAGGAAGGCUUCUGCAUGGGCCAACGAGUGGCAACCAACUGGAGUUACUGUUUACUCAUUAUGUCACUUUCUCAAACUUACUCUGCAUCAGGCAAGUGCUGAGGACAAUCAGGAAAUCCACCUGGGCUGAGUCCCACAGGAGAACGCAUGUGCACAGCACGCCUGGGUGGCUCAGGUAGUGAUCUCCCUGUCUUGGGACCAAGCCCUGCUUGGGCGCUGUGCUGGGCAUGGAGCCUGCUUGGGAUUCUCCCUCUCUCUCGCUCUCUCGCUCUCUCUCUCUGUCCCUCCCCCACUCUGUCAGAAUAAAUAACCUUUUAAGGUCUCCUAAAAAAGGAGAAUGCAUGUGCACACUGAUUGUCCCUCUGUGAGCUGGGAAUGAGGCGGCUCCAAUGAAGGAACAGUUGUCACUGUGUGGCAGGUGUCAGGGUGGCUGAUGGGAGCAGGCUCCUGCAUGGGGGUGGCUGGGCAUGUGUGUGGGGAGGGUCUCGGGGAAGGGGCUGGCUGUGGGUGAGGGAACUUGGGCUGCUGCUCCAGAUGAGGUGUGCCGAUGCCUUGCAUCUAGGCCUCCUGCCCCCGUUGGCCUGACAAAGGCAGCCCAUGUCCCCUCUGCUCUCAGUGGGCCCUUGGCAUCCGACACAGGGCCCAGCCUGCUGAGUGACAUGCGAAUGAACCAGUGCCUGGGUGCGGUUGCGCAGGAGGCAAAGCCAGCCCGGAGGCCCCUCCUCUCAGUGGAUGGGAGGACCAGCAACGUCCAGGAUGCCGAGAGGCCACGGGGAGCUCCGGGAUGGCCGAGUGGAUGCAGCAGAGGCCCCUCUGUUCAGAACCUGCCUUCCGCUGUUGAGUUCGUGUCUGUCCUACGGUCUACGUUUUGCAUGUUUUCCAUGGGUGCCUUUGGGGACACCAACGUUGUCAUGGAGAUUCAGAAAGGUCGCCUGGAGGAGGAGACAUAGCUGGACCCUGAUGCUAAGGGCAGCUGGUCUGCGUGUGGCCAGCCUUGGGACACCGGUCACUAGAAGGGCCACAUGGCUCAUGGUUUCAUGCCCACCCUCACCCAGGCCAUCUUCUCUUUUCUUCUUGAACUCAGAUGAACAUGGUUGAGAACAUCGGAAGCUGGUGUAGGGCCUGGCCACCCCUGGUCACCUUCUGAGGGCUUCCUGUCUGGGAGCAUUGCCUUAACCCAGCAGCUAAAUACACGUAGCUGCCUAUGUGAUGGCUUCUAUGACAUGCAUGCAGCGUGCACAUCCGGACACACCCACUGACCCCCUUCCUGCCCCUGGAGUACCUGGGGUCGGAACACGUGUCUCCCCAUCUCCAGAGCUCCUGAGGGAUGUCUGCUGAAAAGAGGUUUUGAUGAAGGAGGUCUUAGAAACACACGCUUUCGGGUCCAGUUAAUAUCAGUGCUUAGCCAGCCUGUCCUCACCACGCGCACCGCACGUGGCACCCGCCUCUCCCGUCGCUACACCUCAGCAGAUGCACCCUUUGCUUGCUUCUCAGUGGACACUCAACUGGCCACUGCUGGUGUCCGUUGAAGUCGGGUGAACUUUCUGUCUUCACGCAGGGCAGGAACAGAGGCCUGUGCGCUGCUCCGCCAGUUCCAGAACUGCAGUUACGGGGUCAGAGGGCACGUACACCCGAAACUCUGCUAGGUUCUAAGUGUCUUUUGGUAGAAACUCAAAGCACUUUCAGCGAAAUGCUUCGGAGGAAGCCAGAAGGCACGUGUGAGAGAGCCGGCGCGGGCCCCCUCCCUGGGGCGGGGGGACUUGGGCCCAGGAGGCGGCUCUGCCUCCCUGCGGCCCCUCUAGCGCCUGGAUGCACAGGAUUUGUUUCUUCACUUCCUUGCUGACGGCACUUGGGUUGUUUCUGCUCUUGAUUUUUAUGAACAAAGCUGCUGUGGACAUUGUCGUACAAGCCACUUCGCAGGCAUAGGCCUUCUUGGGUGAGUUCCGAAGGUGGACCGGCUGGACCACGUGCCACGAUGAGUUGAACGCAAUAUGAGCGCUGGGCAGCGGAGUCAACACAGUUACAGGAUUUCGUGAGACGGACACAUACUGACAAUCUACUACUGGCACUGAAUCACUCAGAGGCCUUAACUGGAGGCCCCAGCAGCUGGGAAGGUGCUUUCUCCUGAUGGAACUUUGAGUUGAAAAACCCUCUCUUCAGCUGUGCCCUGUCUAUUGUUCAGAAAAUUCAAUGAGCUCCUCACUUCAGGU